Molecule: ribosomal RNA, 564 nt
Filed under: Trichoderma virens
Lineage: Eukaryota; Fungi; Ascomycota; Sordariomycetes; Hypocreales; Hypocreaceae
Description: eukaryotic LSU rRNA
Rfam family: 5.8S ribosomal RNA (bases 180-333)
Source: RNAcentral
ACCCAUGUGACGUUACCAAACUGUUGCCUCGGCGGGAUCUCUGCCCCGGGCGCGUCGCAGCCCCGGACCAAGGCGCCCGCCGGAGGACCAACCAAAACUCUUAUUGUAUACCCCCUCGCGGGUUUUUUACUAUCUGAGCCAUCUCGGCGCCCCUCGUGGGCGUUUCGAAAAUGAAUCAAAACUUUCAACAACGGAUCUCUUGGUUCUGGCAUCGAUGAAGAACGCAGCGAAAUGCGAUAAGUAAUGUGAAUUGCAGAAUUCAGUGAAUCAUCGAAUCUUUGAACGCACAUUGCGCCCGCCAGUAUUCUGGCGGGCAUGCCUGUCCGAGCGUCAUUUCAACCCUCGAACCCCUCCGGGGGGUCGGCGUUGGGGAUCGGCCCUUUACGGGGCCGGCCCCGAAAUACAGUGGCGGUCUCGCCGCAGCCUCUCCUGCGCAGUAGUUUGCACACUCGCAUCGGGAGCGCGGCGCGUCCACAGCCGUUAAACACCCCAAACUUCUGAAAUGUUGACCUCGGAUCAGGUAGGAAUACCCGCUGAACUUAAGCAUAUCAAUAAGCGGAGGAA